Molecule: ribosomal RNA, 492 nt
Filed under: uncultured bacterium
Lineage: Bacteria
Description: partial 16S ribosomal RNA
Rfam family: Bacterial small subunit ribosomal RNA
Source: RNAcentral
AGUGAACGCUGGCGGUAGGCCUAACACAUGCAAGUCGAACGGCAGCACAGUAAGAGCUUGCUCUUACGGGUGGCGAGUGGCGGACGGGUGAGGCAUACAUCGGAAUCUACUUUUUCGUGGGGGAUAACGUAGGGAAACUUACGCUAAUACCGCAUACGACCUACGGGUGAAAGCAGGGGAUCUUCGGACCUUGCGUGAUUGAAUGAGCCGAUGUCGGAUUAGCUAGUUGGCGGGGUAAAGGCCCACCAAGGCAACGAUCCGUAGCUGGUCUGAGAGGAUGAUCGGCCACACUGGAACUGAGACACGGUCCAGACUCCUACGGGAGGCAGCAGUGGGGAAUAUUGGACAAUGGGCGCAAGCCUGAUCCAGCCAUACCGCGUGGGUGAAGAAGGCCUUCGGGUUGUAAAGCCCUUUUGUUGGGAAAGAAAAGCAGCAGGUUAAUACCCCGCUGUUCUGACGGUACCCAAAGAAUAAGCACCGGCUAACUUCGUG